UUAAUAUUCUGGGGGAGCUUUUUGGCUGAGAGGAUAGGGAUCGACCCCAUGAACCUGAUCCGGUUAAUACCGGCGGAGGGAAUGAAAUGGAAUACGAUA
This 99-nucleotide non-coding RNA is filed under the name Ferroplasma sp. Its description in RNAcentral is "TPP sequence". It matches the Rfam family "TPP riboswitch aptamer (THI element)". Rfam says of the family: Vitamin B(1) in its active form thiamin pyrophosphate (TPP) is an essential coenzyme that is synthesised by coupling of pyrimidine and thiazole moieties in bacteria. The previously detected thiamin-regulatory element, thi box was extended, resulting in a new, highly conserved RNA secondary structure, the THI element, which is widely distributed in eubacteria and also occurs in some archaea. Analysis of operon structures identified a large number of new candidate thiamin-regulated genes, mostly transporters, in various prokaryotic organisms. Lineage: Archaea; Methanobacteriati; Thermoplasmatota; Thermoplasmata; Thermoplasmatales; Ferroplasmaceae. The record is from RNAcentral.